UUUACUUCUCAGCCUUUUGGCUAAGAUCAGUAUAGUAUCUGUUCUAAGUAGUUUUAUGCUCCAUAGAGUGUCCAAAGCUUGCCCACUCAAAGGACCUGUACCCUCUUUAUACUCAAAAGCAUUUUAAGUUAAAAACUUUAUUAAAAUCCAUU
RNAcentral lists this small nuclear RNA (152 nucleotides) under Moschus moschiferus (Siberian musk deer). Its description in RNAcentral is "U2 spliceosomal RNA (ENSMMSG00000018275.1)". It matches the Rfam family "U2 spliceosomal RNA". Rfam says of the family: U2 is a small nuclear RNA (snRNA) component of the spliceosome (involved in pre-mRNA splicing). Lineage: Eukaryota; Metazoa; Chordata; Mammalia; Artiodactyla; Moschidae. The record is from Rfam by way of RNAcentral.